GACGAACGCUGGCGGCGUGCUUAACACAUGCAAGUCGAACGGUAAGGCCCUUCGGGGUACACGAGUGGCGAACGGGUGAGUAACACGUGGGUGAUCUGCCCUGCACUUCGGGAUAAGCCUGGGAAACUGGAUCUAAUACCGGAUAGGACCACUGCCUGCAUGGGUGGUGGUGGAAAGCUUUUGCGGUGUGGGAUGGGCCCGCGGCCUAUCAGCUUGUUGGUGGGGUGACGGCCUACCAAGGCGACGACGGGUAGCCGGCCUGAGAGGGUGACCGGCCACACUGGGACUGAGAUACGGCCCAGACUCCUACGGGAGGCAGCAGUGGGGAAUAUUGCACAAUGGGCGCAAGCCUGAUGCAGCGACGCCGCGUGAGGGAUGACGGCCUUCGGGUUGUAAACCUCUUUCAGCACCGACGAAGCGCAAGUGACGGUAUGUGCAGAAGAAGGACCGGCCAACUACGUGCCAGCAGCCGCGGUAA
RNAcentral lists this ribosomal RNA (478 nucleotides) under uncultured bacterium. RNAcentral's name for it is "partial 16S ribosomal RNA". It matches the Rfam family "Bacterial small subunit ribosomal RNA", at positions 28 to 523 of the family's 1533-position model. The record is from RNAcentral.